Xyrichtys novacula (pearly razorfish) is the source of this 9966-nucleotide non-coding RNA. NCBI's taxonomy places the organism in Eukaryota, Metazoa, Chordata, Actinopteri, Labriformes, Labridae. The record is from the annotation of a GenBank genome assembly.
CCAGGAAGUUGGAGGUUCUUCCCUUCGUCUUCAGCCGACUACACACAUGUGCCAGCUCCCGCAGACGCCCGACUGCAAACUUUCUUGUGUCGCUAAUGAAAUCAUCAGCUGUGAGUUUUGUUAUUUGUGAUUGAAAGGUUGCUGGUCCUUGGUUUUUUAGCAGAUUAUGAUGUUAGAACAUGUAUAUUUUUACUUGCUUGUUUAAAUAUUUAGUUUAGUUUAUCCUGGUGCUUAACCUAGAAUGUAGCCUAAAGCUAAGCUGAUUUGCCGAUUGCAGUAUGAAGUUUGGUUUAGCCAGUACCUUAACUUAGCUCUUAGCAUUAGCACGUGAUUUAGCAUGCAGCUUAGCGCUUAGCAUUAGCAAUUAGCAUUAGCAACUACUAUUAGCAUUUAGCUUAGCACCGAUGCUUCGUUUGUAUUACAAGUAAAUUUAGUAUUUUUUAUAGACGGGUUUCUGUGCAACGUUAACGCAGCCAGGGGGCAGAAAGAGGGACAUUUCUUACUUGUUAAUGGAGAAAGAAAAUGACAAGGAGAUGUUGUGCUGUAAGCUGCACGAAUCGGCAAAACAAACAAUCGGCAAACAUUACGACCCUGCUCCUAAACCAACGUCACAACCUGGUAAAUUGAGUGAAAUUCAUGGAUUUUUCAGCAAGUGUUUUUCUGACUUUGAUGCAGUGAAAGACAAAGUGAUUUUUCGUUGAAACAGCAUUUCAUCGCAAUUGUUUCAGGGAGAACUUGCAAACAAAACGGCAUCUUCACUGAUAUCACUUCACUUCGAAACAGGCUUUUGCCUCCUGGUUGCGCGCACCUCGUAUUGUUUGUACACAAGAAUCCCGUCUAUUAGAAGUUGUUUGCAGCACCUUGUUGAUCUGAGCUUUAUUUCUCUGUGCUAUAGUUUUCACUCUGAAUUCAACAAGCGAUAAAUAAACAAAAUCAACUGAGACCUGACUCAAUCAUCAUUUGAAUUGGAGUUUGGCCAACUGUUGAAAUGCGUAAUCACACACAUACGGAGAUCAAGUCACAAUUUGGCUAAUCUCAAACAUUUUUGGGAUCAAGAGCCUGGGGGGAAAAAAGUCAGGGUUAAGUCAGAGUCGAAACUUAUCAACUUGCAUUUACUCUUGAAACGAACCCUGAAAAUUUCAAGAAAACUUGAGAAAAACUUCCAGAAAUUUCCAGGACUGUAGAGUGGAUCUGAUUACAGCUGCUGGGGGACAUAUGUGAAGUCCGCUAAACUGAUUAUUAUCGAUUUAAAGCUGAUUGAAAAUUUUCCUGUUUUGACUUUUUUAACUGUGGUCUAUUUCUGAUCGGUUUCGUAUAACCGGGAAAGCUGUACCUUCCCAAACCCUGCGCAGAAAUCUGUUGAUUCAGAGACAGACGGUCAGAGUUGCCACACAAGGCUGCUGUUUGCAUCCUGUAUCCCGAUGAUCCGAUUUAUUCCUCCCCGUCGUAUCACUUCCUCAUCAUUAUUCACAAGUUCAGAUCACUUCACUGCGGCUCUAUUUUGUACAUGAAGAGAAUCGGUCGUUAUUAUGCAUGUGAGAGACAGAAGGAUGGCUUUCAGACGAGAUCGUCGCCCACGUAUCUUGUUGUUUUUGCAUUUUUCUCGCCAUGUUCCUGAGAUAAUACUCUCAAUAUGUAAACGAGUCUGAUUCCCCGACAAUUAUUUAGAUCAGUGAUUCAGAAGGGACGGGGAAAUGUAGAGGCAUUAAGUGUCAUAUUCAGGCUUGUUUGAGCGCCGUCUCUGUUCAAAGAGAUGCACUUUAAGCUGCCAAAGUGAAGGUGUGAAAGCUUUGUAAUUGGCUCUCGUUAAAAGACAGACAUGAAGCCUGUUUUUAUGCCUCCCAAAACUAAAGAAAAUCUUUUACGUCUUUGAUUUAUAACUAGUUUUAUAUCAAAAGUAGAAUGUCAAACAGUUGUGUAAAAUUACACUUUUGCAGAUUCAUACUUGUUUAUUGUGGUAGUAUCAUAAAACAGAAGAAUCAGUCAGUACGUUUACAUGACACUCUAGAAAACAAAAUUAUCGCCUUAUUCCGAUUAAGACCGGACAACUGAAGUACAUGUAACACUUUAGUCUGACUAUAAUCAGAGUUUGAGAACUCCGAUUAAGACACCCAGAUAAUGCGAUUGGAAUUCGAUUUUCUCCACCAUGUAACCGGUGUAGUCGGAGUAUGAUCGGAGAAUGCAUGUGCGUGUGCGCGACGCCCCCGUAACUUCGGAACAAAAACACCAGAGAAGAGGGGUAGCAUGCAUCUCCUCUGCAGAAAAAGAAGUGAGUACAUGUACGACAAAAACAACGCCGUACGAUGCUCCAUCUUCUUGUUGUUGUUGACGGUUAUAUUGGGUCAGAAACAGCGCCCCGGAAAAGACCCAUAUCGCCCGAUUUGAAGUCCGAUUCGGCGAAAAAAACGAUAAAGCUGUGCAUGUAAACAUACUGAGUGAAAUUCAAUGGGCUGUCUAGGACAAAGGCCAAUGCUGUAGAUCCCAAAAGUAAAGCCAAAGUAUCUGAAGCUCCCCCUACUGGCCGGCUAAAGUAAAGGUCCUGCCCUCAAUGUUAACAGAUGGCACAUGGAUCAAGUUUUAAAGUCAAAACAAAUCUCAAACAUAACUUCUACCAUGAUAGUUGUGCGGCGUUUCAGUUACCUCGGAAGUCGGAGCUGGAAUGGUUUGAUGCACUGUCCUGCCAUCUUGAAUUAUGAUGUUGUCGUCAACUUGGGGUUGGUGAGGAUCGUCCGACUUUCUGAGUCAGAAAAAUCAAAUUUCAGGGGGAGCGUUCCAGAUGAAUUUCUGACUCGGAGCGUGGAAAUCCCGACUUCUGAGUACAGCUGGAAUGCAGCAUUUGUCUCGUUAUUUGAGAUAUUUUGGCUCCGCUUUUGUCCAACAGGAGGAAGGUUGUGUCGGCUGUAUCUUAAACCAUGAAAAGCCACAUUUCGAACAUAAAACAAGCUGAAACACAGCACUAUGAUAUUAAAUUAGGAGUUAUUUUCAGAGGAUGAUGGCCCCAUUGUGAGUCUGAUCAAUCCUCCACUCUACUGUGAAAAAGUAUUACAUACCCUAGCUUUAUUUCUCUCUGCAGACCCUCAGAUAACGCUCAGAGACCCUUUUAUUGAGCAUCUUCAGGAGUCCGUGUUAUCAAGCUGCAGCACAGCAGAGUUUUUGAGCCCCUGAUGCUGCUCCCCAAACAUGUUAUAACCAGGCAAUAAAUAUUUCUCUGAUCUAUGAUUACUGCGUGAGCGCCUGGUUUCUUAUAGGUCAACACUGAAUUGACUUCAGAGCAUAUCAGAGGGACUCCAAUCAAUACCAGAGGCUUUGGUGAGCCUGCUCUCUGAUCCGUGGCUGGGCUGAAUCGAUUGUCACCAGGAGAAGGACUCAGGGGAAGCUGGAGGAGGGAGGAGAGAGGAGGAGGAGGAGGAGGCGGUGGUUGGUGUGAGAGGAGCUUCAUCAAUGAUUGAGUAUUGAAGGCUUGAAUCUGCUGGUGUCAGGCAAAUUGACCGCCUGAUUGGGUUGAAGCUAAAAUGAUGAUGUACGAAUGACAGGCAUCACCCAUUGGUUUGCAUUUUAGCAUUUGGCUGCAGCCAUCUUGGUUUCUGGAGCAGGAAGUGACCAUAUUUGGAUGACAGGGUGGAGCUAUGGUGGAACUAGGAAUUAGCAAAUGUGAAGCCUUUGCGUAAAUCUUCUAAAUCUUAGGAGUCUGGAUUAUAUAUCAGGAGAAGUAUUCUGGUUUUAAUCCAUGUUUGCAGUCAAGCAGAUCUGACCAAUAAGGUACCUGCAGGCUUAGAGGAGGACCAGUCUGUAUGGAGAGCAAAAACAGGCAGAACAUGUGAAAUGACAAUCAGCAGUUAGAAUUCCUGCUGUCCUUGAAUGCAUAGACAUAAAAUACGUAGACGCCCCAUAGACGGACGCUUCCUUUUGGAGCUGAUGUAUCAGCAUGGCAGCCAUCUUGGAUAGGUCUCCCAUGCUACCCCAGUGUUUUUAUUUCUAUUGAGGAAAGUUGAUAUGCCAAACUAAAUUAAUCAUAACUCCCUGAAUUUGUACCAGAUUUUCACAGUUUGGUUUGUUAGAAUUAGCAGAGAUGUAGCGUCACAAAGUCGCACAAAGUUAAUUUUGAGAGGUUUUUGGGUCGGCUCGAGUGUCUUUAACAUGCUUCUAACUCAGUAAGUCCACGUGACACAAGAUCGAAACUUGCGUACAAAACCACAGACAUUUGAAGGAUUUUACAAACUUCCCCAGAAAAAGCUGGACAGCCCCCCAAAAAGAGGUAAAAGAGGACGUAUGGUCACCCUAGUUUAGGUUACAAAAAAUACAGACAUAGUUGCUAGUUCUCAGUCAACCAAGGUUGGUUCUAGUGCGACACUAAUGAAAGGAGACCCAUCCAAUAUGGCGGUGAGAAGAAACCAGUGCUAUGUAUUAUUUAUGUAUUAUUUAAAACCAAGACUGAAUACCAUAUUGAGGAUAUUAAAGACUUUAAAGCUUUACUGAAUUUUAUUUUGUUAGCCCUUUACUCUUAUGUCGUCACUGAAAACAGCUGCCGCUGGUUGAAUCCACGUUACAAACCUGUAAAUGUCCUCUUCAGUUGGUCGUGAUCCUUUAAAAACCAUCUGUACUGUGAAUAAUUAAACCUGAAUGCAGCAGAGUUGAAUUUGUGCGAUUACAUCACAGGGGGAAAUCAAAGGUAAAGGUGUGAAUGAUCCUCCGUACUGAACUGCACGUCCUCUGCGACUCAUCUUGAUUUAAUGUCUGAAAUGAGAUUUGUCGUCUUUUGUGAUUGGACAGGUUGUCCGCUAAUGGAAAUGAGGCAUCUUUUCAAUAGAUUCAUGCUUUCAGCUUUCAAUUAGCUCUGCGUUACGGUGACAGAUAGAGGAAGAAGUCAUUUCCCUUUCAGGCUCUGAUGUGAGUAAAAGGAAAAGGGAGCAGGGCGGGGGGGUGAAGCCGACCUGAGGUGCAAUUAUCUGUAUUUAAAUUCAGAGAGGGUUCAGUCUGAUGUCCCUGAAAUAACAGACUUUUAUUCACAGGUCGUCUGGAAGAAAGACUCAGUCACGACUCGUGUACACAGCCAGAGAGAGGGAGCGGCCCAGGGAUGGAGAGACAGAAGGAUGAGGGGAUGACUAACAGAUAAAGAGACUGAUGAAAGGAUGAAAAGAUUAAUGAAUGGAAGAUAGGAUGGAUAGAAGAAUGGUGAAAUAUACAGGAAAACACUGAAAGACACAGAGAAGUGAUGGAUGGAUGAAAGAAUAAAUGAUUGACUAGGUGGAUGGAUGGAUGGAUGAAUUAUUGAUUUAAUGGAUGAUGGAUGGAAAUAUAAGGGCUGAAUGGUGAAUGGGUGGAUGAAGGGAUGAAUAGAAGUAUGGGUGAAUGAAAAGAAAGAUGGAUGAGUGGAUGGAUAAAUGAUGGAUGGAUUAAUGGAUGGAUGAUGUAAAGAUUGAUGAUAAAGAAUGAAAGCCUGACUGUUUUACCGAUAAAUGGAUGGAUGGAUGGAUGGAUGGAUGGAUGGAUGGAUGGGUGAAUGAAUAAUGUAUAAAUGUGGACAAAGGGUUAGAGGUUUGUAUGAUAAGUGGUGAAUGAAUUGAUAGUUGAAGAGAGUGGUGGAUAGAUAAAUGAAUGAAUGAUUGUUAAUUCGAUAGAUUAAUGGAUGGAUAAAUGAUUGAUUGAUAGAUAACUAAUGCAUGGAUAAUGGAUUAAUAAUGGUAGAUGAUGAAUGAAUGAAUGAAUUGAUUGAUUGUUAUGAUAGAUGAAUGGAUGGAUACAAUAUGGAUAGAUUGAUAAAUGAUUGACGGAUGGAUGGAUGGUAGAUGGAUGAAUAAAUGGAUGAAUGACUGACUGAAUGAAUGAAUGGAUUGUUAAUUCAAUGGAUGAAUAAAUGGAUGAAUGAUUGAUUGAUAGAUAACUGAUGGACAGAUGCAUGGAUAAUGGAUUGAUGAUGGUAGAUGAAUGGAGAAAUCGAUGUAUGAAUGAAUGAAUGAAUGGAUGGAUGAUGGAUUGUCAGUUUGACGAAUGGAUAAAUGAUGGAUUGAUGAUGGAUAGAUUAAAAAAUUACAGACAGAUGGAUGGAUGAUUGAUUGAUGAUGGUAGAUGGUUGAAUGACUGGACGAUUUGUCAGAAGGAUGGAUGGGUUUGCAGUGAAUGGAUCAAUUGUUGGAGGAAAGGAUGGAUGAAUGAUAGAUUGAUGUACUGGAAGGACAGAUGGAUGGAAAUACAAAUGGACUGAUAUGUUUACAGAACAGCAGAUGAAAGAAUGAAUGAAUAAUUAAGUGAAUGAAUGACAGACUGUUCGACGUUAAUGGGAUUCUGUUUGAUACGGUUCAGUCUGUUCACAUACUGAAACUGUUCCCGCUGUCAUAAACCAGAUUAAACUGUCAGAGGAGGAUUUGAUUUUACUCUUGUUCAAACAGGGACUUUAAUUCUUCUUCAGAAGUUCAAGAGUUUGGUGAACUCUCUUGAGAUACUUGUUUAAAAAGAGCCGAUGUGUUUGAAAGAGUCCUCUAUCUCCUCAGGACGAUCUCAGGACACCAAAGUGAAUUUCCCUCUAAUUGAAUCCUGUUUAAAUGUCUCGUUAAGACUUUUUUUUCAGCCGUCAUGGGCUUGUUUGGUGAUUAGUGAAGGGUUAAACUCCCCUCUUCCCCUCCCCUGCCCUCUCCCACCCUGCAGGAUGGUUCGGAUUAUCUCUCUCCCCCGUGUUUUCAGCAGCAGAGGGGUUGGACCCUCCCUGUUGAAGAGCUAGUGCUACAGAUGGUGGAGGAAAUUAGAGUCUGCACGCCACGAUCGGGAUCAGAGCUAAACCUCCGAAACAGCCGUGUCCCCCUCAGGUGGAGCUUUCUAAUCAUCAGGGAGGAUUCUGCUCUCUAGUCAUGUUUCACGGGAGUCAUGUCAUUUCACUGGGCACAAAAAACCCCCACACUUCUGCUGCCGUUUCAUAUUUAUUCACGAAGCCAGUGGAGCUGCACGACAUUAGUCAAAAUUUUUAACAACAUCAGUAAUUUCCUAUUUUGUAGAUUCACAUUAUUAUAAGAAAAUUAAAUAGAUUUUAAAUAAGUUAUGACCAAGAACAUAAGAGAUGUUUAAAGGUAAAAUCACAGGUGUGACAAAACUUAUCGUUUUCCUCUUUUAGAGUACUUUUAAUAAUAAUAAGAUUAUCUGGACGAUACACUUUUAUCAUAUGUUCUAACCAAACUCAACCUCUGUUCUUGUGAGAUUAAGUUAAUGCAGAAAGUGUGUAAAACUGCAGUUCCUCGAGUGUCCACUUGAGGCUGGUCCCAAAAGCUCCUCAACCACAUACACACCCAUUCAAAAAAGCUCAUAUUGAAAGCAGGAAUACACAUGUUUACAGACUCGUACAAACAGGAUUUUGGUCUGAAAAGUUUAUUUCUUUAUUCGUACACACCGCUAAGGGGGUGAGUUUUUCCUCCAAUCACUACCUUUGAUGAUAAUAAGGUCAGGAGUUUUACAUAGAGGUACACCUUUUCUCCUUUGCAUUUAAUAAAUGAGCACUCAGGAAUCACAGGCACUGUAGUGAUCGGCAUGGCAGUUCUUUAAAAUGUACUGAAUCACUAGAAUCAGUUCACUAAAAAGAUUCGUUCAAAAGAUUCAUUCACCAAAUCACCGAAUCACUUUGUUUGACUGCUGUCUUUUUAAAGGUGCUUCAUAAAUAAACUUUGACUUGACACUAAAGUAGCUAAAGCCUGCCUCAACUCCUCCUCUCUACUUCGGGAUGAGUCAGCAUUCAGAUUUGGGGAUCACCAUCUUUUUAAAAACCUGACUCAUAAACCAACAGGUCCAUGUUUUUCACAGAACACAGCUCUAAAGGAUUACAUGCUGGCUGAAGAAAUAUCAAACAUUUUCGGGUCCUAUAAAUCACUUAAGCUGCAUUCAGGGCUCCUACACAGUUGGAAUUUCCAUGGAAUUGUUUUUGGAAAUACCUACUUUUAUAUUUUAGAAAACUUUUCUAUGAUUGACACUUGAUACAGCCUACGGGCAUAUGAAGAUUGCAUAGCUCACCCGGGGGAUACACUGUUUUAGCCGAGCGUCAUCGCAGCGACUCUCGGUGACUCUCCCACCAAAUGUGUACAUCGCUACUGCGCAGUCUGAUUUCAGGAAAUGAAGAAAAAUCGUGAAAAUACAGAGAGCUUUUUGGUUUCAAAUCCAUAUACAGGCAGGAGGCGGAGCCAAGUUGUCCAUAGUAUAUACAGUCUACGGUCGUAACCCCGUGCAUUAAAAAAUCUAUCCAAAAUUCCGGUUUUAAAAGACUUUAAAUCCUGUUAAAUGUAUUUAACAUCAAAGCCAGUCUGCAUGUCUUUUCCGUCUACUUUUGAUGGUUUGCAGCUCAUUCAAAUUAGAUAUUUUUAACAGCAUCCGUCUGUUUUUUUUAUGCUUCAGUGUCUUUUAUUCCAACUCAAAACAAUCUGAUUGAUUCCUGCUUGUUUUUUUCAUCUCAGAACGAGACGUCCUUCCAGUGAGGCCGCUGCGAGACGACAGACUCUCAGUGUCUCCAGAUCCACAACAAACGCUGUAAGCCAAUUAGAGAUAACUAUCAUGGAACCUAAUUUAAUUAGUAUCGCUGAUUUGCCAUCCCUCUCCUUCCACUUAGGCCCUGAAAUCCACGCAAUAUCCCCCUACUCUCCUCCGCUGCCUGUUACACUCCUCUACAGCAGAAAGGCUUCAUGAGAAACUGCACAAAACCACGUCUCUGUGCCAACUCCGGGUCAGAUAUUGUGGCAAGAAAAUCCUCAAAAGAAAGACGACAGAGUCUGUGCAGCUGAGAGAAAAGCAUCUUUGAGCCAGAGAUAUGAAAAACACACAUUUCUGCCUCAUGGUUUUCGAGUCUGCAUUCAAUCACGGGGUGCAGAUUUCACAAAAACAAAAGAGACUCUUGAAUAUUAGUCUGUUUAAGCCCGGAGGCCACCGUUUAGAUCUGAAACAUCGAGAUUUUUACAUUUUUAUGGAGUAAAGAGGACAAAUAACCCAAGUUUCUGUUUCUCAAUCGAAGCCUGAAUAAAAGUCGAUGUAGUGAGCAGUAAAUGUAUUCAUAAAGCACUAAAACAGUCACCUUACAGAAUUUUUUAAGGCGAAAUACUCUCAUUUUUACAGCUCGCUAUACGUCUUCCUAUAGGCUUCUUCAUGCUCCAUGAUCUUUAGGAUCACCUGCAGCUUGUUUCGUUGCUGUCCUGUGAGGUUCAUAAAGUAGAAAAUAACUUUGAGACAUCCUUGACUAAAUUUAAUGGAACAACUGGAUGGAAAAGAAGUUAAAAUUGCUCCCAUAAACAUGAAAUGUUUUAUGCACCCCGAGAAAAUAUGUAGUGUGUGUCAGUUUUAAUACUCCGUCGACAUUCAGGGUUAUUUCUUCCACAUGAAACUUCCUCUGAAACUGCAGGCUAGUGCUGUAAACCGUCAAAGAAUGUAUAAUCUGCCUCGUCAGUUAACAAGUAAUCUGUAAUUCUCUUCCUGAGACAUAUGGUGGGAGGAAUAAUCUGUCAGAGACUGCUGGACCACCAUCAAGCUGCAGCUAAAACCCCCCGAAGACACGGAGAGCAAAGCAGAUGAAGCUUAGAGGGAAAUUAAGAGCAAACCUUUUCAGCGACAGAGACACGACUGAGGAGGCAUCAAGGUCUGAACCUGGAGAUAGUCUGAUGUUAGGACUCCAAAUCUGCAGGUGUAACUGAAGGGUACAUCGAUCAUGACAGAAAACAGAAAUUAAAAUGUAAACAAACAUUUCCUCUGAUCCAGGAACCCCAGACAGUUACACCCCAGGGUCACAGGAGGCCUUAUUUCCCCACGUAAUCACAACCACUUUACAAAAGCGUGAAAAUACAGUAAAUCUGUUCAUCACUGCCAGCCUCCAUUUACAAAAACAGCUUUUUAAGCAGAGGAACUGCUGGUCUACCUCUGAGUUUUCACGUCAUUGUGUUUCACUUAUAAAGUCGCUAAAAUAGCAGAAUUAAGAUUAUCAAACAGAGGUGGGGGUUUUACAAAAAAAGG